This 500-nucleotide ribosomal RNA is filed under the name uncultured Glomeromycotina. RNAcentral describes it as "partial small subunit ribosomal RNA". It matches the Rfam family "Eukaryotic small subunit ribosomal RNA", at positions 591 to 1092 of the family's 1831-position model. The record is from RNAcentral. Lineage: Eukaryota; Fungi; Glomeromycota.
CCAAUAGCGUAUAUUAAAGUUGUUGCAGUUAAAAAGCUCGUAGUUGAAUUUCGGGGUCAGUAAGUUGGUCGUGCCACUGGUAUGUACUGGCUUUACUGAUUCCUCCUUCUUGUAGAACCGUAAUGCCAUUAAGUUGGUGUUGCGGGGAAACAGGACUGUUACUUUGAAAAAAUUAGAGUGUUUAAAGCAAGCUAUCGCCUGAAUACAUUAGCAUGGAAUAAUGAAAUAGGACGAUCGAUCCUAUUUUGUUGGUUUCUAGGAUUGACGUAAUGAUUAAUAGGGAUAGUUGGGGGCAUUAGUAUUCAAUUGUCAGAGGUGAAAUUCUUGGAUUUAUUGAAGACUAACUACUGCGAAAGCAUUUGCCAAGGAUGUUUUCAUUAAUCAAGAACGAAAGUUAGGGGAUCGAAGACGAUCAGAUACCGUCGUAGUCUUAACCAUAAACUAUGCCGACUAGGGAUCGGAUGAUGUUAAUUUUAUAAUGACUCAUUCGGCGCCUUACG